RNAcentral lists this ribosomal RNA (460 nucleotides) under uncultured bacterium. RNAcentral's name for it is "partial 16S ribosomal RNA". It matches the Rfam family "Bacterial small subunit ribosomal RNA", at positions 338 to 795 of the family's 1533-position model. The record is from RNAcentral.
CCUACGGGUGGCAGCAGUGAGGAAUAUUGGUCAAUGGACGAGAGUCUGAACCAGCCAAGUAGCGUGAAGGAUGACUGCCCUAUGGGUUGUAAACUUCUUUUAUAUGGGAAUAAAAUGUUCCACGUGUGGGAUUUUGUAUGUACCAUAUGAAUAAGGCUCGGCUAACUCCGUGCCAGCAGCCGCGGUAAUACGGAGGAUCCGAGCGUUAUCCGGAUUUAUUGGGUUUAAAGGGUGCGUAGGUGGAUUGUUAAGUCAGUUGUGAAAGGUUGCGGCUCAACCGUAAAAUUGCAGUUGAAACUGGCAGUCUUGAGUACAGUAGAGGUGGGCGGAAUUCGUGGUGUAGCGGUGAAAUGCUUAGAUAUCACGAAGAACUCCGAUUGCGAAGGCAGCUCACUGGACUGCAACUGACACUGAGGCUCGAAAGUGUGGGGAGCAAACAGGAGUAGAUACCCCAGUAGUC